Long non-coding RNA from Ornithodoros turicata, 819 nucleotides. RefSeq lists it as uncharacterized. The transcript has 2 exons. The record is from RefSeq and is a predicted model, not a curated record. Lineage: Eukaryota; Metazoa; Arthropoda; Arachnida; Ixodida; Argasidae.
UCAUCGAUGUCCUAACUCACAGCUUCAUGCUGCACCAAGGGCUUGGCCUGUGGGGACUUUGCCAGCUUCUUUUCGGUCAAAGGCUGUGUGAUGAUGGUCAUCUUGUGGCUUUUGGUGACGUUCUGUCAACAAGAGCUCGUUUUCCUGGGAAAGACAGUGCUGUUCCGAAAGCUCCCGAGAAGUAGACGUAUACAAAUCAGGUGCGAGAGCAGCUUAGCUUACUCACUCGAAGCGAUCAAUUUAUUUGUAUACAGUGCUGCUCCGCGGCUGCGACGGCUGAUGCGAUCAUACUGCCGCCUAGACUUCGGCCCAAAGAAAAAAAUAAAGUCUACAACAUUACGGGUAUACAAAGCAGCAUGCGGUGAUUUAUAUCCCGCAAAAAGAAGUGAAAAAGUUAAGGUUUCAUUUGCACGUUGCGCAGUCUUCACCGGUAGGAGCGCUGUCAAUCAAACACGCACGAUGUAGCGUGCGAAAUGGUGGCAAUUUUGUUUGCGCCCUGUUUCAGCUGUGUUCCCGACGCUGAGCGCGUCAAAAAGACAAGCCAGUUGGCACCCGACACUUCCCAUGUAUGCAACCACUUCGGGAGAAAGAAAAACCUGCGAUUUGUGAGGAGACAACAGCGACAAGCUUUUUGUGAAGCCAGCAAAGGACAAGUCGGACAAUUCUUUAAGAAUUUGGUGGGUGCCGCAGGAAGAGUCAUCCGACGUGAUAUUGGUUUCGUCUCAUCACAGAGAUCACAAUAAACUGUACAGUGCACGCUUGGUUUGCAUAGCUGAGGACGUAAACCAGUUUGCAAAUAAAUAAGGAUUGUGUGCAUGA